GAUGAACGCUGGCGGCGUGCCUAACACAUGCAAGUCGAGCGGACAGAUGAGGAGCUUUCUCCUUUUACGUUAGCGGCGUACGUGCGAGUAACAUGUCCAGCACCCACCUCUAUGACUGGGAUAACUUCGUGAAACCGGUACCAAUACCGGCUAAUCUUUUCAACCGCAUGGUUGAAUAGUUUUAGACGCUUUUGCUGUCACUUAUACCUGUAUCCUCGUGGCAUUAGCUAGGGGGUAGGGUAACGGCCUACCAAGGCGACGCUGCGUAGACGACCUGAGAGGAUGAUCGGCCACACUGGAACUGAGACACGGUCCAGACUACUACGGGAGGCAGCAGUAGGGAAUGUUAGGCAAUGGGCGAAAGCAUGACGGAGCAAGGCAGCGUGGGUGAUGAAGGCCUUCGGAUGGUAAAGCACGUUUAUGGGGGAAGAACAAAUGUGGAAGAAGAUAUGGACGUAUUGACGGUACCGGAAGAAGAAGCAACGGCUAACUACGUG
This 497-nucleotide ribosomal RNA is filed under the name uncultured bacterium. RNAcentral describes it as "partial 16S ribosomal RNA". It matches the Rfam family "Bacterial small subunit ribosomal RNA", at positions 28 to 507 of the family's 1533-position model. The record is from RNAcentral.